This is an unclassified non-coding RNA of Macaca fascicularis (crab-eating macaque), 148 nucleotides long. It matches the Rfam family "Metazoan signal recognition particle RNA". Rfam says of the family: The signal recognition particle (SRP) is a universally conserved ribonucleoprotein. It is involved in the co-translational targeting of proteins to membranes. Lineage: Eukaryota; Metazoa; Chordata; Mammalia; Primates; Cercopithecidae. The record is from Ensembl.
GCCAGGUGUGGUGGUGCACACCUGUAAUGCCAGCUACUCAGGAGGCUGAGGCAGGAGAAUCGCUUGAACCCAGGAGGUGGAGGUUGCAGUGAGCCAAGAUCGUGCCACUGCACUCCAGCCUGGGUGACAGAGUGAGAUUCUGUCUCCA